Molecule: small nuclear RNA, 107 nt
Organism: Dipodomys ordii (Ord's kangaroo rat)
Lineage: Eukaryota; Metazoa; Chordata; Mammalia; Rodentia; Heteromyidae
Source: Ensembl
GUGCUCGCUUCAGCAGCCUAUGUACUAAAACUGGACCAGUACAGAGAAGAUUAGCAUGGCCCCUGCACCAGGAUGCCACACAAAGUUGUGAAGCAUUCCACAUUUGU